RNAcentral lists this unclassified non-coding RNA (678 nucleotides) under Hevea brasiliensis (rubber tree). The record is from RNAcentral. Lineage: Eukaryota; Viridiplantae; Streptophyta; Magnoliopsida; Malpighiales; Euphorbiaceae.
GAUCAUCCUUUCUCGUGGAAACCUCGGUAUUGAUCUACCACCAGAGAAGGUGUUCUUGUUCCAGAAGGCUGCUGUUCACAAGUGUAACAUGGCUGGCAAGCCAGCUGUAGUAACACGUGUUGUUGAUAGUAUGACUGACAAUCUCAGGCCUACUCGUGCUGAAGCAACAGAUGUUGCAAAUGCUGUCUUGGAUGGAACUGAUGCUAUUCUUCUUGGUGCUGAGACUCUGCGUGGAUUAUACCCAGUCGAGACUAUUUCUACUGUUGGCAAGAUUUGUGCCGAGGCAGGGAAGGUCUUCAACCAAGACCUAUACUUCAAGAAAACAGUCAAAUUUGUUGGAGAGCCCAUGACACAUCUGGAAGCAAUUGCCUCAUCUGCGGUAAGAGCUGCCAUCAAGGUGAAAGCAUCAGUAAUUAUUUGUUUCACUUCAUCUGGAAGGGCAGCAAGGUUGAUAGCUAAAUAUAGGCCAACUAUGCCAGUAUUGUCGGUUGUCAUUCCUCGACUCAAGACUAAUCAACUGAAGUGGAGUUUUAGCGGUGCAUUUGAGGCAAGGCAAUCUCUAAUUGUCCGAGGUCUUUUCCCAAUGCUAGCUGAUCCUCGACAUCCUGCUGAAUCUAAUAAUGCAACUAAUGAGUCGGUACUGAAGGUUGCUCUUGAUCAUGGAAAAGCAUCAGGAGU